This 253-nucleotide ribosomal RNA is filed under the name uncultured bacterium. RNAcentral's name for it is "partial 16S ribosomal RNA". It matches the Rfam family "Bacterial small subunit ribosomal RNA", at positions 524 to 776 of the family's 1533-position model. The record is from RNAcentral.
UACGUAGGGUGCAAGCGUUGUCCGGAAUUAUUGGGCGUAAAGAGCUCGUAGGCGGUUUGUCGCGUCUGCCGUGAAAGCCCAUGGCUUAACUGUGGGUCUGCGGGCGAUACGGGCAGACUGGAGUACUGCAGGGGAGACUGGAAUUCCUGGUGUAGCGGUGGAAUGCGCAGAUAUCAGGAGGAACACCGGUGGCGAAGGCGGGUCUCUGGGCAGUAACUGACGCUGAGGAGCGAAAGCGUGGGGAGCGAACAGG